This 3304-nucleotide long non-coding RNA is filed under the name Nicotiana benthamiana. RNAcentral's name for it is "long non-coding RNA (NBEN_LNC022050)". The record is from RNAcentral. Lineage: Eukaryota; Viridiplantae; Streptophyta; Magnoliopsida; Solanales; Solanaceae.
UUUGUGUUCAAUUCGAGAUAUGUGGUGCCGAGUCGAGUUAGUAGUUGCUGCUUACGAUUCCAAUCACAGUUUCUGUUCGUUUUUUUGUGCUGCCAUUUCACGACUAAAUUCUCGGAGUCUAAGGCCUUUGUAUUCAUUGCUUCUUUAUUCGAAUUCAAACUUGCUUAACAGGUUCUUUGUUCAUUGGCUUAACAGGUUUGUUUCCGUAUCAUUCUUCUUUUUUAGAACUUGCUUCGGAUGGAUUGAGCAUUAUAGUAGUUGUUUUACGUUUAACUUCCACUCGAUUCUAGCUUACGUUGUGUGUCGAUUGAGUGUUCACUGAAUUAUUCUGUUGAAGUCUCUUUGAUUUUAAAAGAGCAUAAAUUAUUUGAGUCUGUGUUUUAUUUAGGUAAUGUAAUAAAUUAGUAUUAGGAGUUGGAAUGUUUCUUCUUAUGAAAUUAGUUAAAGCUCUAAAAAAUUGAUGUUUCUAGCAGGUUGUUUUGUUUUUCUAUAGUUACUAGGAGUUUUUUGAGACAUAGUGUAACAAUCAAGUGUGUAAGAUUUUGAGCCUUUUUUAUUAGCCUAUUUUCUCACAUCUCAAAUGAUGGACCACUGUUUAUGAUAAAUGGAUUAAGUGCAUUGAAAUGUGAAAAUUUCUCCAGUAAGUUUUUCAUUAUUUAGAUGUUACUCUCUGUUGAUUUUAAAAUUGUAAUUAAUUAAGAAUCUCCUUAGUUCAUCCAAAGCCCAUGCAGCUCAAGAUGAGAUACAUUAGAGAGGUCCAUUGACCUAUUUUAACUACCAGUCAUAAAUCAUUUUGUAAUUAUUAUUGUGAGUCGAUUAAAUUUAUGUCAAAAGAUUUAGGAUAGUUUUCAUUUCCGGCUAAGUAUCAUAUGUUUGAAAUAUCUUAUUGAUUUGAAUUAAUUCAGUUGGGGUAGUAAUCUUUAAAUGUCUCUUCCUAAUGGCUUUGAUUCACAUUCUUUACCUUGUAGUUAUUAGUAUUUUAGUUUCCUUUAGUCCUUACCUUCUUGUUGCCUUCUGUUAGAUAUUUUGCUUGGUCAGUUAGUGUUUGUUGGAUGUGAAGUUGUUUGAAUUAUGAAUAAGGAUCAUGGGGUUGGGUUUAAAAGGAAUGAAUCAAAUUUGAGCAUGAAUUGAGUUUUCCUCUUAUUUAAUACUCUUUUAUUUAUUUUACUUUUACAAUUUGCCUGGUAGUACCAUAUUUAGGCCGACCACACUUGGAUAGUUAACCCUUAGGAUUUUUCUUUUAGUUUGAGGUGAGAGGUCGUUCCCUCAGUUAAAUUUAUCCGGGUAAUGCCCCGAAGUAUUUGUAUAUAUUUUACUCCGGGAAAUGCCUCGCAGUAUUCUGUAAUUGGAGGUCAAAAGUGAGCUCGUAGACCUUUAUUCUCAUUUCAUCUUAUUUUUAUCUUUCUUUUAUUAGGUGGGGAUGACCUUGAGCCUUUUGUGUGAUUAUUUUUCUUUUAUGUGUUUAUUUUUAUCUCAGUUUGAAUGUUUCAAAAGCCAACUAGACUGAGUAAGCAACUGUGACCUUCGCGGGACUUGGGGAGCGUCUAACACGUUAUCCCCGAGUCAAAUGAACCAUGUUACUCAAAUCUCUGGUGUAGACUUAGUUCUAAAGUACAAAGUGUUUUAAUGAAAAAUUAUUUUUAAAAUAGUGACCUGGCAAAGAGAAACCAAUGGUCAGAUGGCAACUCUGUGUAAUUUUCUUUUGAACACAAAUUUUUGUCACUUUUUAAUUAAAAUAUUUUUCAAGCUUUACAAAAUCUUUUUAUUAAUUUAAGAGGUUUGCUUACAAAAAUGGUGUGACAUCUCUGGCGACUCUGUUGGGUAGUUGCAGGUUCGAACUAGUACUUGAUCUUGUUGACUUUUAGGAUAUUAGGUUGAGGUUUUUGUGUGUUUUGUUUGCUUUAUUUGAUUUUUAUUUUUGUUUAUGUCUCUUUAUUAUUUGCUAGUUGCUUAUAUGUGUAUAGUUUUUCUUUUAUGUAUUAUUUCUUUAUAAACUGUCAUUAUUUGCAUAAUCAUGAGUCUUAUUUAUGCAACAACUCUCAGAGUACGCGUCGUGUGCACAAACGCUUUGUUGAGUACUUACUUUAGGAGAGAGGGUCGUCGAACGUAUGGAGUGGAUGGAAAGCUUGAGCAACCACCAUCGAUCAUACGCUCCCCUGAAUUGGCUUGUAGUGGACCCCAAACUUAGGUCAGCCUUUAGGUCAUUUUUAUUUGCAUCAUGUCAUUUAUACUUAGUGGGGCUCGGUCUCAGGCCCCAUGUCCUUUUGUAGGAAGCUUAUCCAAAUUUUAUCAAAAUAAGCCCAUGGCCUAAAAAAGGCAUCCAAUCAUCCAUAUGUGAUACAUGUUGCAUCUUUGAGGAUAAAAAGGUCAUUUGGCGGAGUGAUAUUUGGGAAAGAUUGGUGGAAAAGGAAGUAACUGGGACCCAGUUAUAUUUUCUUUCACUACUUUUAAAAAAAAACAAAAAAAUGAAAAUAAAAAAUCCAAAAAAGAUUUUACACUUUUCAUUAUUUUUCAAAAAGUCAAAAAAAAAAAAUAAAUAAAAAAUCCAAAAAAGAUUUUACAGUCUCCAUUAUUUUCCAAAGAUUCAAAAAAAAUGAAAAAGAAAAUCCAAAAAGAUAUUACAUUUUUCCAAAAAAAAAUAAAAAAAAAUCCAAAAAGAUUUUGCAUUUUCCAUCAUUUUUUCAAGAAGACAAAAUAUAGUUUUUCCAAAUUACAUGCAUUUUUUUAAUUCUAUCCCAUAUUUAAUCUUUUCGAACUAUGCGAACCUAAUUCUCGUCUUUUGGGGUGGUAUACGUGGGCAACCCACAUAGGGUCCGGUCUUAUUAGUGAGUCUUAGGUUCUUGACUUUGCGGGAUCUUAGCCAAAUCUUCCAUGUCUAGCCACUUUCGGCCAAAUCGAGCAUUCUUGCAAAAUGGGAUAUUUUUGCAAAAGUAGUUUAAUUACUCAUGUCUUAGGAUCUUGAGUCCACAACUAGACGUCAUAUUUCUUUAAGGUCUGUCCUUAUUGAGUUUGCAUCUUUAGCCACUUCAGGCAAUUACGGUCGUCUUUGCAAAUUGGGUCAUUUCUGUUAAUUAAUUUUGGACUAUGAUUAUUUGGAGUUUGAAGCCAUAUAAGCCUUAUUUAAGCAUUUUGCAUGUCUUAGAGGUCAAUCUUAUUGAGUUUACACUUCUAGCCACCCUAGGGCACGUAGGUCAUUUUGCAAAAAUAGCCUUAAUCAUGCCUUGCAUAUGUCAAAUAGAAGGUGUUGUGGCGCCACAUGUGUCUUGACUCAUUAACUCUAUUUGAUCUUAUUUUUUCCAUUUAG